RNAcentral lists this transfer RNA (52 nucleotides) under Pyemotes zhonghuajia. RNAcentral's name for it is "tRNA-Thr". The record is from RNAcentral. Lineage: Eukaryota; Metazoa; Arthropoda; Arachnida; Trombidiformes; Pyemotidae.
GCUAAUUAAGUUUUAAAAUAUUGGUUUUGUAAACCAAAGAAUUAAAUUAGUA